GAUGAACGCUGGCGGCGUGCCUAAUACAUGCAAGUCGAGCGAACAGACGAGGAGCUUGCUCCUCUGACGUUAGCGGCGGACGGGUGAGUAACACGUGGAUAACCUACCUAUAAGACUGGGAUAACUUCGGGAAACCGGAGCUAAUACCGGAUAAUAUAUUGAACCGCAUGGUUCAAUAUUGAAAGACGGUUUUGCUGUCACUGAUAGAUGGAUCCGCGCCGCAUUAGCUAGUUGGUAAGGUAACGGCUUACCAAGGCAACGAUGCGUAGCCGACCUGAGAGGGUGAUCGGCCACACUGGAACUGAGACACGGUCCAGACUCCUACGGGAGGCAGCAGUAGGGAAUCUUCCGCAAUGGGCGAAAGCCUGACGGAGCAACGCCGCGUGAGUGAUGAAGGUCUUCGGAUCGUAAAACUCUGUUAUUAGGGAAGAACAAAUGUGUAAGUAACUAUGCACGUCUUGACGGUACCUAAUCAGAAAGCCACGGCUAACUACGUG
Molecule: ribosomal RNA, 497 nt
Filed under: uncultured bacterium
Lineage: Bacteria
Description: partial 16S ribosomal RNA
Rfam family: Bacterial small subunit ribosomal RNA
Source: RNAcentral